RNAcentral lists this non-coding RNA (272 nucleotides) under Schizosaccharomyces osmophilus. The record is from RNAcentral. Lineage: Eukaryota; Fungi; Ascomycota; Schizosaccharomycetes; Schizosaccharomycetales; Schizosaccharomycetaceae.
UUAGUUUGAUAAUUUAACUGAAUUUGAUCAUGACUUUCAGUAAGUCUCUAAAAGGAAAGUUUGGAAUUCAUAAUAGAAUUUAUCUCAAUAUUCGGCACUCUGGGCUGAACCCCCCGCGGGGCUUUUAAAGGAAUUUAUUAAAGAGAGUCCUUCACUUCCCUUUGGAAUGUGAUUAAUUUAUGUGUUAUAAAAUAAUUCCUAAGAAAAGUUAAAAUGAGAAAAGUAAUUUCAGUAAAUUUUACAUAAUCCAUCUUAUUAAUUAUCAAACCCCC